RNAcentral lists this microRNA precursor (59 nucleotides) under Schistosoma mattheei. RNAcentral's name for it is "mir-3492 microRNA precursor family". It matches the Rfam family "mir-3492 microRNA precursor family", at positions 20 to 79 of the family's 79-position model. The record is from Rfam by way of RNAcentral. Lineage: Eukaryota; Metazoa; Platyhelminthes; Trematoda; Strigeidida; Schistosomatidae.
GAGAUUUCGUCACACACCAGACCACAAGGGCUGAUGAGACUACCAAGAUAAGUGAAGCG